This 58-nucleotide transfer RNA is filed under the name Loxodonta africana (African savanna elephant). It matches the Rfam family "tRNA", at positions 7 to 64 of the family's 71-position model. Rfam says of the family: Transfer RNA (tRNA) molecules are approximately 80 nucleotides in length. Their secondary structure includes four short double-helical elements and three loops (D, anti-codon, and T loops). The record is from Rfam by way of RNAcentral. Lineage: Eukaryota; Metazoa; Chordata; Mammalia; Proboscidea; Elephantidae.
GUGGUUCAGUGGUAGAAUUCUCACCUUCCAUGUGGGAAACUUGGGUUCAAUUCCUGGC